CCCUUAGAUGUUCUGGGCCGCACGCGCGCUACACUGACGAAUGCAACGAGCUUAUAACCUUGGCCGAAAGGUCUGGGUAAUCUCCAAAUUUCGUCGUGAUGGGGAUAGAUUAUUGCAAUUAUUAAUCUUCAACGAGGAAUGCCUAGUAAGCGCAAGUCAUCAGCCUGCGUUGAUUACGUCCCUGCCCUUUGUACACACCGCCCGUCGCUCCUACCGAUUGAAUGGUCCGGUGAAGCGCUCGGACCGCGGCCUCUUGACGGUUCGCUGUCGAUUGGCUGUGGGAAGUUCGUUAAACCUUAUCAUUUAGAGGAAGGAGAAGUCGUAACA
RNAcentral lists this ribosomal RNA (327 nucleotides) under uncultured eukaryote. RNAcentral's name for it is "partial 18S ribosomal RNA". It matches the Rfam family "Eukaryotic small subunit ribosomal RNA", at positions 1470 to 1796 of the family's 1831-position model. The record is from RNAcentral.